GACGAACGCUGGCGGCGUGCUUAACACAUGCAAGUCGAACGGAAAGGCCCUGCUUUUGUGGGGUGCUCGAGUGGCGAACGGGUGAGUAACACGUGAGUAACCUGCCCUUGACUUUGGGAUAACUUCAGGAAACUGGGGCUAAUAUCGGAUAGGAGCUCCUGCUGCAUGGUGGGGGUGGGAACGUUUCUGCGGUUGGGGAUGGGCUCGCGGCUUAUCAGCUUGUUGGUGGGGUAGUGGCAUACCAAGGCUUUGACGGGUAGCCGGCCUGAGAGGGUGACCGGCCACAUUGGGACUGAGAUACGGACCAGAGUCCUACGGGAGGCAGCAGUGGGGAAUAUUGCACAAUGGGCGGAAGCCUGAUGCAGCAACGCCGCGUGCGGGAUGACGGCCUUCGGGUUGUAAACCGCUUUCGCCUGUGACGAAGCGUGAGUGACGGUAAUGGGUAAAGAAGCACCGGCUAACUACGUG
This 468-nucleotide ribosomal RNA is filed under the name uncultured bacterium. Its description in RNAcentral is "partial 16S ribosomal RNA". It matches the Rfam family "Bacterial small subunit ribosomal RNA", at positions 28 to 507 of the family's 1533-position model. The record is from RNAcentral.